AACUUUCAACAACGGAUCUCUUGGCUCUCGCAUCGAUGAAGAACGCAGCGAAAUGCGAUACGUAAUGUGAAUUGCAGAAUUCAGUGAUUCAUCGAAUCUUUGAACGCAUAAUGCGCUCUCUGGUAUUCCGGAGAGCAUGCUUGUUUGAGUAUCAGUAAACACCUCAAAUCCCUCUACUUGUUGGAGUAGUUUGGACUUGAGCAAUCCCAACUUUUCGAAAGAGAAGUCGGGUUGCUUGACAUGGAGGUGCAGCUAGAGUCUUUCUUCUGAGUUAUAAGCAUACUUAUAUAAUCCCGUAAAACGGAUUAUUACUUUUGCGGCAGCUACCAUAAGGGUUGAAGAGUCGCUAUGGCUGACUGAUGCAGGAUUUAACAUGUCGCGCAAGUGACCUGUAAACUCGAUCUGAAAUCAAGCAAGACUACCCGCUGAACUUAGGCAUAUCAAUAAGCGGAGGCU
Molecule: unclassified non-coding RNA, 456 nt
Filed under: uncultured Mortierella
Lineage: Eukaryota; Fungi; Mortierellomycota; Mortierellomycetes; Mortierellales; Mortierellaceae
Description: sequence contains ITS2
Rfam family: 5.8S ribosomal RNA (bases 1-154)
Source: RNAcentral